RNAcentral lists this ribosomal RNA (1123 nucleotides) under Pseudomonas sp. Its description in RNAcentral is "bacterial SSU rRNA". It matches the Rfam family "Bacterial small subunit ribosomal RNA", at positions 84 to 1212 of the family's 1533-position model. The record is from RNAcentral. Lineage: Bacteria; Pseudomonadati; Pseudomonadota; Gammaproteobacteria; Pseudomonadales; Pseudomonadaceae.
UCCUGAAUUCAGCGGCGGACGGGUGAGUAAUGCCUAGGAAUCUGCCUGGUAGUGGGGGACAACGUUUCGAAAGGAACGCUAAUACCGCAUACGUCCUACGGGAGAAAGCAGGGGACCUUCGGGCCUUGCGCUAUCAGAUGAGCCUAGGUCGGAUUAGCUAGUUGGUGAGGUAAUGGCUCACCAAGGCGACGAUCCGUAACUGGUCUGAGAGGAUGAUCAGUCACACUGGAACUGAGACACGGUCCAGACUCCUACGGGAGGCAGCAGUGGGGAAUAUUGGACAAUGGGCGAAAGCCUGAUCCAGCCAUGCCGCGUGUGUGAAGAAGGUCUUCGGAUUGUAAAGCACUUUAAGUUGGGAGGAAGGGCAGUAAAUUAAUACUUUGCUGUUUUGACGUUACCGACAGAAUAAGCACCGGCUAACUCUGUGCCAGCAGCCGCGGUAAUACAGAGGGUGCAAGCGUUAAUCGGAAUUACUGGGCGUAAAGCGCGCGUAGGUGGUUUGUUAAGUUGGAUGUGAAAGCCCCGGGCUCAACCUGGGAACUGCAUUCAAAACUGACAAGCUAGAGUAUGGUAGAGGGUGGUGGAAUUUCCUGUGUAGCGGUGAAAUGCGUAGAUAUAGGAAGGAACACCAGUGGCGAAGGCGACCACCUGGACUGAUACUGACACUGAGGUGCGAAAGCGUGGGGAGCAAACAGGAUUAGAUACCCUGGUAGUCCACGCCGUAAACGAUGUCAACUAGCCGUUGGGAGCCUUGAGCUCUUAGUGGCGCAGCUAACGCAUUAAGUUGACCGCCUGGGGAGUACGGCCGCAAGGUUAAAACUCAAAUGAAUUGACGGGGGCCCGCACAAGCGGUGGAGCAUGUGGUUUAAUUCCAAGCAACGCGAAGAACCUUACCAGGCCUUGACAUCCAAUGAACUUUCCAGAGAUGGAUUGGUGCCUUCGGGAACAUUGAGACAGGUGCUGCAUGGCUGUCGUCAACUCUUGUCUUGAGAUGUGGGGUAAGUCCCGUAACGAGCGCAACCCUUGUCCUUAGUACCAGCACGUUAUGGUGGGCAUCUAAAGGAACUGCGGUGACAACCGGAGGAAGUGGGGAUGAGUCAAUCAUCAUGGCCUUACGGCUGGG